Non-coding RNA from Felis catus (domestic cat), 85 nucleotides. Lineage: Eukaryota; Metazoa; Chordata; Mammalia; Carnivora; Felidae. The record is from Rfam.
ACCCGGGUGGCUCAGUUGGUUGAGCAUCUGACUUCGGCUCAGGUCAUGAUCUCAUGGUUUGUGGGUUCGAGCCCACAUCAGGGUC